UGAGGAAUUUUGCGCAAUGGGGGAAACCCUGACGCAGCAACGCCGCGUGAGUGAAGAAGGCCUUCGGGUUGUAAAGCUCUGUCAAGUGGGAAGAACCUUUUUCGGCCGAAUAAGCCGAGAAACUGACGGUACCGCUGAAGGAAGCACCGGCUAACUCCGUGCCAGCAGCCGCGGUAAUACGGAGGGUGCAAGCGUUAUUCGGAUUUAUUGGGCGUAAAGGGCGUGUAGGUGGUCUGAUAAGUCAGGUGUGAAAGCCCCUGGCUCAACCAGGGAAGUGCAUUUGAAACUAUCAGACUUGAGUACGGGAGGGGGAAGUGGAAUUCCUGGUGUAGAGGUGAAAUUCGUAGAUAUCAGGAGGAAUACCGGUGGCGAAGGCGACUUCCUGGACCGAUACUGACAC
This 400-nucleotide ribosomal RNA is filed under the name uncultured bacterium. Its description in RNAcentral is "bacterial SSU rRNA". It matches the Rfam family "Bacterial small subunit ribosomal RNA", at positions 355 to 746 of the family's 1533-position model. The record is from RNAcentral.